GAGCCGACCUUGAAAUACCACCCUUUAAUGUUUGAUGUUCUAACGUUGGCCCCUAAUCGGGGUUGCGGACAGUGUCUGGUGGGUAGUUUGACUGGGGCGGUCUCCUCCUAAAGAGUAACGGAGGAGCACGAAGGUUGGCUAAUCCUGGUCGGACAUCAGGAGGUUAGUGCAAUGGCAUAAGCCAGCUUGACUGCGAGCGUGACGGCGCGAGCAGGUGCGAAAGCAGGUCAUAGUGAUCCGGUGGUUCUGAAUGGAAGGGCCAUCGCUCAACGGAUAAAAGGUACUCCGGGGAUAACAGGCUGAUACCGCCCAAGAGUUCAUAUCGACGGCGGUGUUUGGCACCUCGAUGUCGGCUCAUCACAUCCUGGGGCUGAAGUAGGUCCCAAGGGUAUGGCUGUUCGCCAUUUAAAGUGGUACGCGAGCUGGGUUUAGAACGUCGUGAGACAGUUCGGUCCCUAUCUGCCGUGGGCGCUGGAGAACUGAGGGGGGCUGCUCCUAGUACGAGAGGACCGGAGUGGACGCAUCACUGGUGUUCGGGUUGUCAUGCCAAUGGCACUGCCCGGUAGCUAAAUGCGGAAGAGAUAAGUGCUGAAAGCAUCUAAGCACGAAACUUGCCCCGAGAUGAGUUCUCCCUGAGACUUAGAGUCUCCUGAAGGAACGUUGAAGACGACGACGUUGAUAGGCCGGGUGUGUAAGCGCAGCGAUGCGUUGAGCUAACCGGUACUAAUGAACCGUGAGG
Molecule: ribosomal RNA, 739 nt
Filed under: Escherichia coli
Lineage: Bacteria; Pseudomonadati; Pseudomonadota; Gammaproteobacteria; Enterobacterales; Enterobacteriaceae
Description: partial 23S ribosomal RNA
Rfam family: Bacterial large subunit ribosomal RNA
Source: RNAcentral